Molecule: ribosomal RNA, 378 nt
Filed under: uncultured eukaryote
Lineage: Eukaryota
Description: partial 18S ribosomal RNA
Rfam family: Eukaryotic small subunit ribosomal RNA
Source: RNAcentral
CAAUAGCGUAUAUUUAAGUUGUUGCAGUUAAAAGCUCGUAGUUGGAUUUCGGAUGGGAUUUGCCGGUCCGUCGUUACGAUGUGCACUGGCCAGUCCUAUCUUGUUGUCGGGGACUAGCUCCUUGGAUUCACUUCCUGGGACUAGGAGCUGACGAGGUUACUUUGAGUAAAUUAGAGUGUUCAAAGCAAGCCUACGCUCUGAAUACAUUAGCAUGGAAUAACACGAUAGGACUCUGGCUUAUCUUGUUGGUCUGUGAGACCAGAGUAAUGAUUAAGAGGGACAGUCGGGGACAUUCGUAUUUCAUUGUCAGAGGUGAAAUUCUUGGAUUUAUGAAAGACGAACUUCUGCGAAAGCAUUUGUCAAGGAUGUUUUCAUUAA